CAGUCGAGGGGCAUCAGGAAGAAAGCUUGCUUUCUUUGCUGGCGACCGGCGCACGGGUGAGUAACACGUAUCCAACCUGCCCUUUACUCGGGGAUAGCCUUUCGAAAGAAAGAUUAAUACCCGAUAGCAUAAUGAUUCCGCAUGGUUUCAUUAUUAAAGGAUUCCGGUAAAGGAUGGGGAUGCGUUCCAUUAGGUUGUUGGUGAGGUAACGGCUCACCAAGCCUUCGAUGGAUAGGGGUUCUGAGAGGAAGGUCCCCCACAUUGGAACUGAGACACGGUCCAAACUCCUACGGGAGGCAGCAGUGAGGAAUAUUGGUCAAUGGGCGCUAGCCUGAACCAGCCAAGUAGCGUGAAGGAUGAAGGCUCUAUGGGUCGUAAACUUCUUUUAUAUAAGAAUAAAGUGCAGUAUGUAUACUGUUUUGUAUGUAUUAUAUGAAUAAGGAUCGGCUAACUCCGUGCCAGCAGCCGCGGUAAUACGGAGGAUCCGAGCGUUAUCCGGAUUUAUUGGGUUUAAAGGGAGCGUAGGUGGACUGGUAAGUCAGUUGUGAAAGUUUGCGGCUCAACCGUAAAAUUGCAGUUGAUACUGUCAGUCUUGAGUACAGUAGAGGUGGGCGGAAUUCGUGGUGUAGCGGUGAAAUGCUUAGAUAUCACGAAGAACUCCGAUUGCGAAGGCAGCUCACUGGACUGCA
This 689-nucleotide ribosomal RNA is filed under the name uncultured bacterium. RNAcentral describes it as "bacterial SSU rRNA". It matches the Rfam family "Bacterial small subunit ribosomal RNA", at positions 59 to 738 of the family's 1533-position model. The record is from RNAcentral.